This 301-nucleotide ribosomal RNA is filed under the name uncultured bacterium. RNAcentral describes it as "partial 16S ribosomal RNA". It matches the Rfam family "Bacterial small subunit ribosomal RNA", at positions 509 to 807 of the family's 1533-position model. The record is from RNAcentral.
CAGUAGCCACGGGAAUACGUAGGGCGCAAGCGUUAUCCGGAAUUAUUGGGCGUAAAGAGCUCGUAGGCGGUUUGUCGCGUCUGCCGUGAAAGUCCGGGGCUCAACCCCGGAUCUGCGGUGGGUACGGGCAGACUAGAGUGAUGUAGGGGAGACUGGAAUUCCUGGUGUAGCGGUGAAAUGCGCAGAUAUCAGGAGGAACACCGAUGGCGAAGGCAGGUCUCUGGGCAUUAACUGACGCUGAGGAGCGAAAGCAUGGGGAGCGAACAGGAUUAGAUACCCCGGUAGUCCCUGUCUCUUAUAC